UACGAAGGUCCCGAGCGUUGUUCGGAUUUACUGGGCGUAAAGCGUCUGUAGGCGGCGCGGCAAGUCAGAUGUGAAAGCCCGGGGCUCAACCCCGGAAAUGCAUCCGAUACUGCCGUGCUUGAGGGUCGGAGGGGAGUCUGGAAUUCACGGUGUAGCAGUGAAAUGCGUAGAUCUCGUGAGGAACACUAGUGGCGAAGGCGAGACUCUGGACGACACCUGACGCUGAGAGACGAAGGCCAGGGUAGCGAAAAGG
This 253-nucleotide ribosomal RNA is filed under the name uncultured bacterium. Its description in RNAcentral is "partial 16S ribosomal RNA". It matches the Rfam family "Bacterial small subunit ribosomal RNA", at positions 524 to 776 of the family's 1533-position model. The record is from RNAcentral.